This 304-nucleotide long non-coding RNA is filed under the name Homo sapiens (human). Its description in RNAcentral is "HSALNT0293831". Lineage: Eukaryota; Metazoa; Chordata; Mammalia; Primates; Hominidae. The record is from RNAcentral.
CUCCUCCCCCUUUGCCUCCGCGGCUGAUGGAUGAGCCCCGAAUGCUGCUCGAGCCUGUGCUUCCCUUCGGGACGAGGAGGCCGAGAGAGAAGGGGCUAGGGGCGCGGCCGGGCUCAGCGUGCCCGGGUUGGGGCGGCCCCUGUCCUGGGGGAAGCGCGAGGGAGACGUGGGCACGAGCUGCGGGGACUCGCUCCCUCAAACGAGGUCCUUUGAACUUUCCAGGGCUCCCUGGAAGAGUUGGAUUUUCAUUUGGUUCCUUGGUCUUUAUAUAAAAGUUCUGAAACCUCAGAUAAUCUGAUCACAG